CCUACGGGAGGCAGCAGUGGGGAAUUUUGGACAAUGGGCGCAAGCCUGAUCCAGCAAUGCCGCGUGCAGGAUGAAGGCCUUCGGGUUGUAAACUGCUUUUGUACGGAACGAAACGGUGAGCUCUAAUAAAGUUUGCUAAUGACGGUACCGUAAGAAUAAGCACCGGCUAACUACGUGCCAGCAGCCGCGGUAAUACGUAGGGUGCGAGCGUUAAUCGGAAUUACUGGGCGUAAAGCGUGCGCAGGCGGUUAUAUAAGACAGAUGUGAAAUCCCCGGGCUCAACCUGGGACCUGCAUUUGUGACUGUAUAGCUAGAGUACGGUAGAGGGGGAUGGAAUUCCGCGUGUAGCAGUGAAAUGCGUAGAUAUGCGGAGGAACACCGAUGGCGAAGGCAAUCCCCUGGACCUGUACUGACGCUCAUGCACGAAAGCGUGGGGAGCAAACAGGAUUAGAUACCCUGGUAGUCCACGCCCUAAACGAUGUCAACUGGUUGUUGGGUCUUCACUGACUCAGUAACGAAGCUAACGCGUGAAGUUGACGCCUGGGAAGGUACGGCCGCGAAGUUGAAACGUUCAAAUUGAAUUGACGGCGUUGAGACNGCGACGACGACGACGAGGAGGAGG
Molecule: ribosomal RNA, 622 nt
Filed under: uncultured bacterium
Lineage: Bacteria
Description: bacterial SSU rRNA
Rfam family: Bacterial small subunit ribosomal RNA
Source: RNAcentral